CCUCGCCCAGUCAGCAAUGCGCAUGCGCAAAGCGGCACCCGCACAUGCGCACACAGCACAAACACGUGCGGGUGCGCAGUGCUGCCUCUCCGCCAACAGACGGCGAUGGGAAGCGAAGUGAGACCCGAGUCCGAUGCCAGGCCAGUGAGCCUUGAAAGUCCUGACCUGGCUGCUCCUGUCUUUGGAGAGAGCAGAGUCACAAGGUCUAUUGAGAGUCUCACUCUGCCACCCAGAUUGCAGUAUAGUGGCACAAUCUUGGUUCAUCUUGGCAACCUCCCGUUCCCAGGCUCAAAACAUCCUCCCACCUCAGCCUCCCAAGUAGCCAGGAAUACAGUCAAGGAAGAAGCAGCAAUAUUUUAGUAUCCAGAAAGUGGAAAUAACCCAAAUACCCAUCAACAGCAGAAUGAAUGAAUAAAUUAUAGCAUAUUCACACCAUGGAAUGUUGUAUAGCAAAGAGAAUGAAUGAACUAUUGCCAAAAAAGACAAGGACAAAUCUCAUAAACAUGAUGUUGAAAGAAACCAUAGUCCAAAAAGUACAUAUUAUGUGAUUCCAUUUAUAUAAAGUGGGAAAAGGAAGCAACAUGAACUUACGGUGUUGGAAGUUAGGAUAGUGUUACCCUUAGGGGUAGUGACUGAAAGAGAACAUGAGAGGGGUGUUGGGAUGUGCAGUGAUGUUUGGUUCUUCAUCUGGGUGCUAGUUGCAUGGGGUUGCUCACUUUGGGAAAUACCAUUGAGUGGUAUGCUUCUGACCUGUGCACUAUUCUGCAUAUGUGUUAUACUUCAAAAUAAAACAUUAAAACACAGGAGGAAGGACAUGGUCUCAAAGCAAAGGACAGGUUUUUUUGUUUUCUUUUUCUUUUUUUGUUUUGUUUUGUUUUGGUUUUGGUUUGGUUUGGUUUGAGACAGAGUCUUGCUCUGUUGCCCAGGCAAUAGUUCACUGCAACCUCUACCUCCCGGAUUCAAGUGAUUCUCCUGCCUCAGACACCUGAGUAGCUGGGAUUACAGGUAUGAGCCACCAGACUGGCUAAUUUUUGUGUUUUCAGUAGAGACAGGAUUUCACCAUGUUGGCCAGGCUAGUCUUGAACUCCUAACCUCAGGUGAUCUGCCUGCCUCAGCCUCCCAAAGUGCUGGGAUUACAGAUGUGAGCCACCAUAGGCAGGUCUUUAAAGACCAGACAGGUCUUUAAAAAGUAAGUUUAACUUUAUAAAAAGUUUUAUGAAAAAUGUACUACGUUUUCCCACAUUUUUCUCAUCUCUCCUUGAUCCAGUGUAAAUUGCUUUAGGACAGGGUUCUGGGCUAUGCCAAUAUCAGUGGGAAAAGGAAACAGGGGUGACAUGAUUGGCAUCAACUGAUGCUGUGAGGAACAGGUCAGCUCUCCAAGGAAGGCGCCUCUCGACUGCUCCUGGCUGCUGCGCUCAGAGUUCACACACACUGUGUUGUGUGCGUGUCUACACAGAUGCUUCCCAACCUUUUGCAGACCAUGGCAUAUGCAGAAAAUGACAACAUUGGAAUGGCACACUGGCAUACCAGAUGGGGCUCCUGGCAGUCAGUGCUGACUGGCCUCAUCCUUCAGCCACCCCCAGAAAGAGAGAGAUCAAUACCUUGGCACAUCUGUGGGAAAGCUCCAAUUAGAGAGUUGGGGGAAGACAUGGGGCUCCACAACACAUUUCAGGUUCUGUAAACUGACAAAGGGGAAGAGUCUGGGCUUCCUUUGCCCUUUUGUUCUUGGAGAGCCCAGCUGUGCACACCCCUCACCCCUGCACUAUAGCUCCCAUUCGGGUAGUGAAAAUCACAGGACUCAGGGGAGCUGUGCAGCAUUCGGGAAUGGAGACCUGGAAAGCCACACUCUUUGCUUUCCCGUGAGCCUCUCUUCUUGCUGUCCCCUUUACAAACCAACAGUCCCUGCAGGGGGAAGAUGCUCUGCUUUAGUCAGUUCCACCUCCCUUCCAGGUCUCAUCCUCCUUCCAGCCUCAUUUUCCCCACACCCUCAUGCUCCUUCCCACUGUUCACCCUCACCCCCAGCUCUCCUCCAGCACAUCACACAUUGCACCCAGCAUGCUGCGCUUGUCUGCCAUCUAUGAACAGACCCACGUCACCCACACCCUUCUCUUUCCCUGUUGUGCCAGAGCCUCUGCCAGGAGCGCUCAGCCUGCUGUCUCCACUUAGACCUCCCCUCUCUACAAAGCCUCCUUCUGCAUGCUGCCUGAGAGCCACUCCUCUCUUGGGUUUGUGUUACUGCUGUGUGUGGCGGCAUCUCCGUGGUACCUGAUUUCCUGUCUUGGCCUAUCGUAGAUGCUCAACAAUUGUUUCUCAAAUAACUACCAGGCUGCAGAGGGACCCCGACACUAACUCCACCCCACCCUGACUCUUGGCAGUCACUCAUUGUCUCCUUGAGUUGGGAUCCCAGCCUCCCAGAGGACCUGUCUUGCUGCUGUUCUAUAUUCUGUCACCCUACCGCCGGGAGACUAGAGCCAUGCUGCCUGGAUGAGACUCAUCUUUACCAGCUCCUAGCUCUGGUGCUGCCUGCUCGGGGUGGCUGCAGGCAGCAGCCUGAUUGGGAUUGGGCUGAUUACAGGUGAAUCAGCACAAGGCUGACUGUGGUGUGACAAAGCGGGAGAGUGACUACUGUCUCAGCCUCAGUCCUGGCUCCCCUUCUUCUAGCCAUGACCUGCAGUAACAGCAUAUGGCCACCAGGGGCUCUACUGGGCGACUCAUGCCCCACCGAGAAAGGUCCACUGGGAGCAUCUGACCCCAGCUCCCAGCAGAUGAGAAAGGAAGCAUUUGGGAGGCCUCUUCUCUCAGAGGUCUCUGGCGCUGAAGCCCCACAGCCCCACCCGGCUGCCUUAUCCUUGUUUUGCCCCUCCUGGGUCUAGAAGCUGUUGUCUCACACCUUAACAUCUUCCUCCUUGCUUGCCAUGAGCUUCUCUGCAGGCCGCCCCCUUUACAGAACAGUCAAGGUAGAGGGAAGAUGCCUCCACUUUUGUCAGUUCUGCCUCCUUUAGGAGAGUGCCAGGGCUACUCCCUGUGUGCCCCAUCUGUCGGGGCAUGGAAAGGACAAUUGUCCUGUUUCAUCUUUUCAACACCUCUUGACUCUGUCCUCCUGGUCUCCCCACAGCCAACUAGGUUCAGGGCCUCCCAUCUCUGGUCAGGAUUAGUGCAACAGCUGUCUGAAGGGUCCCGGGCUCCAGGGAGCCCCUUGCCCAUCAAGUCUCCACCCUGGAGCCAGACAGCCCUCACUCCCUUCAGACAUCAGCCUCCAGUGGCUCCCAAAAGCCCGAUGUUCACACAGCACCCCAUGGCCCCAAGAUCCAGCUGCUUGAUUUUCCUGCCAUGUCCCUCCUGUCCCCUGGCCCUCCCACCCAGAAAUCGCCCCAACACACUGUGAUGUUUCAAGCCUUUGUACUUUGCACACAUUCUUCUCCAUGGCCCAAUUCCUUCUCUCCAUCCCUCACCCCACCCCUCCUCCACCUUUACCCUUGUUCCCCGUUCUUUCAUCACCGGGCACAGCCCUAUUUAUCCUUCAAAACUGCCACUUCCUUUGCAAAGCCUUUCCUGACCCAGGUCCCAGUAUUCCUCCUCUGAACAAAUCCCGUUCCCUUAACAUGUGUCUCUCGUUGUAUCUGUCACUCAGAAUUGCAAUAAUUACACAGGCCUGUCCUGUGUCCUCCACUGGCCCUGUACCUCCAUGUGGGACCUGUGACCAGCACACAUCGGUGCUGCCCGAAAGCUGUUGCACUGGAGUUGCUUCCUCUGCCCCAUCACCUCCCACCUUAAGCAAGUCCUUUAGAUGACCUGAACUCCAGUUUGCUGAUCUGUGAAAUGGAGAGGUGUGAGAAUCAGAAGAGAACAUACAAUGAAAGGGUGUUAUAAACUGUUAGGGGCUGUACAAAUAUUUUUAUUGCAUUU
This is an RNA transcript of Callithrix jacchus (white-tufted-ear marmoset), 3906 nucleotides long. RefSeq lists it as uncharacterized. Lineage: Eukaryota; Metazoa; Chordata; Mammalia; Primates; Cebidae. The record is from RefSeq and is a predicted model, not a curated record.